GACGAACGCUGGCGGUGUGCUUAACACAUGCAAGUCGAACGGUAAGGCCCUUUCGGGGGUACACGAGUGGCGAACGGGUGAGUAACACGUGAGUAACCUGCCCUCAUCUCUGGGAUAACAGUCGGAAACGGUUGCUAAUACUGGAUAUAAGCCUGCAAGGCAUCUUGUGGGUUGGAAAGAUUUUUUGGUUGGGGAUGGACUCGCGGCCUAUCAGCUUGUUGGUGAGGUAGUGGCUCACCAAGGCUUCGACGGGUAGCCGGCCUGAGAGGGCGACCGGCCACAUUGGGACUGAGAUACGGCCCAAACUCCUACGGGAGGCAGCAGUGGGGAAUAUUGCACAAUGGACGGAAGUCUGAUGCAGCAACGCCGCGUGCGGGAUGACGGCCUUCGGGUUGUAAACCGCUUUCAAUUGUGACGAAGCUUUUUGUGACGGUAGCAGUAGAAGAAGCACCGGCUAACUACGUG
Molecule: ribosomal RNA, 465 nt
Filed under: uncultured bacterium
Lineage: Bacteria
Description: partial 16S ribosomal RNA
Rfam family: Bacterial small subunit ribosomal RNA
Source: RNAcentral